This 1005-nucleotide long non-coding RNA is filed under the name Anser brachyrhynchus (Pink-footed goose). RNAcentral's name for it is "lncRNA (ENSABRG00000022304.1)". Lineage: Eukaryota; Metazoa; Chordata; Aves; Anseriformes; Anatidae. The record is from RNAcentral.
CGGGCCCCAUGCUGGUGGCAGGGGGGCACCCACCCGGCCGUGGCAGCCCGCGGGGACCAGCAGUGAAUCACGCCGCUGGUAUCUGCAGGCUGAUAACCUCCCUGCUCCUCCCACGGCUUCGCGCCCCUCGGGGCUAUGCAAAAGUAUAACAGAAUAAGUGAAGAAGGAAAAAAAAAAGAAAACAAAAAACAAAACACAAAUCGAGGAGGAAAACAGCAGGCUGAGAGGAAGCAAGUGCCCCGGGUGCAGCGGGGAGGAGCCCUGCGUCCUCGUUUUGUAAUGCUCCUGUGGGCACCCGUGCAGCUGUCCCUGGGCUGUGGGACAGCAGUGGUGGCACUGCCACAGCACGGCAGGAUCCAUGUCCUCGGGUGGGACAGUGCCUGCCCUCGCCACCCCAGGCGUGGCGGUGGCCAGGCUGGCUUUGCCCCUCGAGGAAGAACUGGCUGGAUGCGGUGCUUGCCCCGGAGCUGGCUGCGUUUUGGGGGCUCGGGAGCAGAGGAGGGUGGUGGAGGUGAUGGAGAACAGUCAUUGGAGCCAGAUCCUGCCCGGGGGAAUCGCUACCCGGGAACGCCCAGCCCCAUCCAAAUUCCAUUCCUGCUCCCAGCAGAGCCGUGAAGCAAAGCCACGAGGGAACGGCUCCCUGUCCCCCCCGUCCCGUCCUGUCCCCACACUGGGCUGACACGGGCAUGGCCACCAGCACCCACCAGCAGGGCUGCCACUGGUGGCACCUGGAGCGUGCUGGGCUCUUGACAUUGGUCUCCGGGAAGUCACCGGAGAGCAACGGCUAGCUGCUGGGCUACUGGGCAGACCCCUCCUGGCCUUGGGGUGGGCAGCUUGCCCCCACGCUGCCCCUGCUUGGGUUAGGAGGCAGGUGGCCGUGCCCUGAGCCCCUUCCCCAGAGCCUGCCCGGCACCACGCUGCAACCUGCGCGGCACAGCGGUGCUCCGAGGCUUUCCUGGAGUUCGGCCCCAACAUGUCGUGCUUGGCACCGGCACCCGUGCAACC